CAAACCAAAGCUGGCGACCGGCGCACGGGUGAGUAACACGUAUCCAACCUGCCUCAUACUCGGGGAUAGCCUUUCGAAAGAAAGAUUAAUAUCCGAUAGCAUAUAUUUCCCGCAUGGGUUUUAUAUUAAAGAAAUUCGGUAUGAGAUGGGGAUGCGUUCCAUUAGUUUGUUGGGGGGUAACGGCCCACCAAGACUACGAUGGAUAAGGGUUCUGAGAGGAAGGUCCCCCACAUUGGAACUGAGACACGGUCCAA
RNAcentral lists this ribosomal RNA (254 nucleotides) under uncultured bacterium. Its description in RNAcentral is "partial 16S ribosomal RNA". It matches the Rfam family "Bacterial small subunit ribosomal RNA", at positions 74 to 334 of the family's 1533-position model. The record is from RNAcentral.